CAGAUGAACGCUGGCGGCAGGCCUAACACAUGCAAGUCGAACGGUAACAGGAAGAAGCUUGCUCUUGCUGACGAGUGGCGGACGGGUGAGUAAUGUCUGGGAAACUGCCUGAUGGAGGGGGAUAACUACUGGAAACGGUAGCUAAUACCGCAUAACGUCGCAAGACCAAAGAGGGGGACCUUCGGGCCUCUUGCCAUCGGAUGUGCCCAGAUGGGAUUAGCUUGUUGGUGGGGUAACGGCUCACCAAGGCGACGAUCCCUAGCUGGUCUGAGAGGAUGACCAGCCACACUGGAACUGAGACACGGUCCAGACUCCUACGGGAGGCAGCAGUGGGGAAUAUUGCACAAUGGGCGCAAGCCUGAUGCAGCCAUGCCGCCGUGUAUGAAGAAGGCCUUCGGGUUGUAAAGUACUUCAGCGGGGAGGAAGGGAGUAAAGUUAAUACCUUUGCUCAUUGACGUUACCCGCAGAAGAAGCACCGGCUAACUCCGUGCCAGCAGCGGC
This 501-nucleotide ribosomal RNA is filed under the name uncultured bacterium. Its description in RNAcentral is "bacterial SSU rRNA". It matches the Rfam family "Bacterial small subunit ribosomal RNA", at positions 28 to 518 of the family's 1533-position model. The record is from RNAcentral.